This is a small nucleolar RNA of Acomys russatus (golden spiny mouse), 143 nucleotides long. RefSeq annotates it as small nucleolar RNA SNORA48. The record is from RefSeq and is a predicted model, not a curated record. NCBI's taxonomy places the organism in Eukaryota, Metazoa, Chordata, Mammalia, Rodentia, Muridae. The transcript has a single exon.
CCUUCCUGGCAGUGGACAAAGAGACACCUUGUUGGUGGUAGUGUUCUUAUAUCAGUCAGAGGCAGAGCAAACACCAAUCUUUGUUCAUCUUAGCGUGAUGCUUGGCUUAGUGGCCAAAACUGUCUUAUGCCUAGGACUCAUAA